GACGAACGCUGGCGGCGUGCCUAAUACAUGCAAGUUGAGCGCUGAAGGUUGGUACUUGUACCAACUGGAUGAGCAGCGAACGGGUGAGUAACGCGUGGGGAAUCUGCCUUUGAGCGGGGGACAACAUUUGGAAACGAAUGCUAAUACCGCAUAAAAACUUUAAACACAAGUUUUAAGUUUGAAAGAUGCAAUUGCAUCACUCAAAGAUGAUCCCGCGUUGUAUUAGCUAGUUGGUGAGGUAAAGGCUCACCAAGGCGAUGAUACAUAGCCGACCUGAGCGGGUGAUUGGCCACAUUGGGACUGAGACACGGCCCAAACUCCUACGGGAGGCAGCAGUAGGGAAUCUUCGGCAAUGGACGAAAGUCUGACCGAGCAACGCCGCGGGAGUGAAGAAGGUUUUCGGAUCGUAAAACUCUGUUGGUAGAGAAGAACGUUGGUGAGAGUGGAAAGCUCAUCAAGUGACGGUAACUACCCAGAAAGGGACGGCUAACUACGUG
Molecule: ribosomal RNA, 497 nt
Filed under: uncultured bacterium
Lineage: Bacteria
Description: partial 16S ribosomal RNA
Rfam family: Bacterial small subunit ribosomal RNA
Source: RNAcentral